GAUUGAACGCUGGCGGCAUGCCUUACACAUGCAGGUCGAACGGCAGCACGGGGGGUAACCCCUGGUGGCGAGUGGCGAACGGGUGAGUAAUAUAUCGGAACGUGUCCAGUAGUGGGGGAUAGCUCGGCGAAAGCCGGAUUAAUACCGCAUACGCACUACGGUGGAAAGCGGGGGACCGCAAGGCCUCGCGCUAUUGGAGCGGCCGAUAUCGGAUUAGCUAGUUGGUGAGGUAAUGGCCCACCAAGGCGACGAUCCGUAGCUGGUCUGAGAGGACGACCAGCCACACUGGAACUGAGACACGGUCCAGACUCCUACGGGAGGCAGCAGUGGGGAAUUUUGGACAAUGGGGGCAACCCUGAUCCAGCCAUGCCGCGUGAGUGAAGAAGGCCUUCGGGUUGUAAAGCUCUUUCGGCGGGGACGAAACGGUUCGUGACAACACCACGGACUAAUGACGGUACCCGCAGAAGAAGCACCGGCUAACUACGUGCCAGCAGCCGCGGUAAUACGUAGGGUGCAGGCGUUAAUCGGAAUUACUGGGCGUAAAGCGUGCGUAGGCGGUUUGUUAAGACAGGUGUGAAAUCCCCGGGCUUAACCUGGGAACUGCGCUUGUUACUGGCAGACUGGAGUGUGGCAGAGGGGGGUGGAAUUCCACGUGUAGCAGUGAAAUGCGUAGAUAUGUGGAGGAACACCGAUGGCGAAGGCAGCCCCCUGGGCUAACACUGACGCUGAUGCACGAAAGCGUGGGGAGCAAACAGGAUUAGAUACCCUGGUAGUCCACGCCCUAAACUAUGUCAACUGGUUGUCGGGGAAGCAAUUCCUUGGUAACGAAGCUAACGCGUGAAGUUGACCGCCUGGGGAGUACGGCCGCAAG
RNAcentral lists this ribosomal RNA (871 nucleotides) under uncultured bacterium. Its description in RNAcentral is "bacterial SSU rRNA". It matches the Rfam family "Bacterial small subunit ribosomal RNA", at positions 27 to 892 of the family's 1533-position model. The record is from RNAcentral.